This 545-nucleotide long non-coding RNA is filed under the name Polistes fuscatus (common paper wasp). RNAcentral describes it as "uncharacterized LOC122515670". The record is from RNAcentral. Lineage: Eukaryota; Metazoa; Arthropoda; Insecta; Hymenoptera; Vespidae.
UAUUUGUUAUAAAAGGAUUUGCUCGGUAUCAAGAAGAUACAAACGAUUAAUAUCCUCUUUACUGUGAAUAUUGUGUUUUUAACGAUCGUUCAUUAAAUAUGAAUUCUUUCGUUUUUUAUUUGAUCACAUUUUUAUUAGCGACAUUAUUAUUAUUGUCAACAAUUGCUCAUCCAUUGGAUGUCGAUACCGAUAAGUUAAUAAAUUUAUCUCAGAAUGGAACUGAAGUCAAGUUACCUGAAAUUAAUCUACCUAAAGAAUUAGAUCAUUUGUUGGGUGAUGUCACACCGACAGAUUGACUAGAACUACAAAAUCUUUUAUCAAUGACGUCGAAAACUGCUUCUAUAAUAAAUCCACCAUCAAGAUCCUGUCCUGAUAAUCAAAAAAUUGACGAAUAUGGAAACUGCCGUAUACAAGUAACAUAAAAAUGAAUAAUCUAAUCAUUAUUCUAUCGAUAAUUAAAUUCAUUUGCAAUAAUUCUCUCUAAUAAAACUGUCCGAUUAGGUAUAAUGAUAUGAUUAUCAAUAAAUUCCCUCAAGUGUGUGUUA